Molecule: long non-coding RNA, 207 nt
Filed under: Oncorhynchus mykiss (rainbow trout)
Lineage: Eukaryota; Metazoa; Chordata; Actinopteri; Salmoniformes; Salmonidae
Description: lncRNA (ENSOMYG00000064159.1)
Source: RNAcentral
GAGCCUUUAUAGUAACAACAUUACAGAGCCCUUUAUAGUAAGUAACAACAUUACAGAGCCUUUAUAUAACAACAUUACAGAGCCUUUAUGUAACAACAUUACAGAUAAUUUAUGUAACAACAUUACAGAGAAUCUAUGUAACAACAUUACAGAGCCUUUAUGUAACAACAUUACAGAGCCUUUAUGUAACAACAUUACAGAGAAUUU